CGUAUGGUGUCUGGCGUUCAGCGACCAGAUAGCGAUGCGGCCUAACUUGAGGU
Idiomarina xiamenensis 10-D-4 is the source of this 53-nucleotide regulatory RNA element. It matches the Rfam family "L31-Gammaproteobacteria ribosomal protein leader". Lineage: Bacteria; Pseudomonadati; Pseudomonadota; Gammaproteobacteria; Alteromonadales; Idiomarinaceae. The record is from Rfam.